CCAGAAGCGAGUUCCCCAGGGCCGGCGGGGCCAGGCCGGCGGCCUGGCACGGGCUGAGCGUGGCAGGGUGCCGAUGCGAAAGGCUCCUCGGCCCGGCUGCGGUCCUCAACGAGCAGAAGAAGUCUUAAGUUACUCUCCUGGUAGAAAAUGUAAACAGUAUGAUUCAGCAAUGUCAUACCGUGAAGAAAGCAAACAUCAUACUGGGAUAUAUAAACAGGAGUCUCAUAUGCAGGACACAUGAAGUAAUACUUCCACUCUACUCGGUACUCAUAAGACCUCAACCAAAGUACUGUAUCCAGCUUUUGGCACAACACUUCAAGAAAGUGGAGAAGGGCCAGUGGAAAGCAACAAGAAUAAUCAGAAGCCUAGAAAAGACAAACUAGGGAAAGACUGAAAGAAGAAGAGCUGUUUAGUCUACAGAGGAGAAGACUGAGUUAAGACAUGCUAACAGUUUUCAAACAUAUGAAAGACUGCUGUAAAGAGGAGGUGUUAAACUGCUCUCUAUGGUCUUAUUGUGCAUAAUAAAAUAGUUUAAAAUUCAGUUGA
Molecule: long non-coding RNA, 546 nt
Organism: Rhea pennata
Lineage: Eukaryota; Metazoa; Chordata; Aves; Rheiformes; Rheidae
Exons: 2
Source: RefSeq, a predicted model, not a curated record